Molecule: long non-coding RNA, 292 nt
Organism: Cinclus cinclus
Lineage: Eukaryota; Metazoa; Chordata; Aves; Passeriformes; Cinclidae
Exons: 3
Source: RefSeq, a predicted model, not a curated record
AGCGCCGCCGGAAGGGGCGGUGCGCCAGCGGCGGGCGCGCGCGGCGCGGGCGGACUCUGUGCUCCCCAUUGGCCCGAGCGCGGUGACAUCAUCGCGGGCGGAACCAAUCUGAGCCUGGAGCUCCGGACCCCCCCAGCCUGACAAGAGCCCCCCAAAAAAAUCCCCAAACCCCCCCCAAAAAAAAAAUCCCCCCAAAACCCCAGGGACUCCCCAGCCCCCCCCCCCCCCCAAAUUUUGGGGUUGGGGACCCCCAAAUUCCUCCCAAGACCCCCCCCCCCUCCCAAACCCUUCC